UACGUAGGGUGCGAGCGUUGUCCGGAAUUACUGGGCGUAAAGCGUGCGCAGGCGGUUUGUUAAGCGAGAUGUGAAAGCCCCGGGCUCAACCUGGGAACGGCAUCCGGAACUGUCAGGCUAGAGUGCAGGAGAGGAAGGUAGAAUUCCCGGUGUAGCGGUGAAAUGCGUAGAGAUCGGGAGGAAUACCAGUGGCGAAGGCGGCCUUCUGGACUGACACUGACACUGAGGUGCGAAAGCGUGGGUAGCAAACAGG
This 253-nucleotide ribosomal RNA is filed under the name uncultured microorganism. RNAcentral's name for it is "partial 16S ribosomal RNA". It matches the Rfam family "Bacterial small subunit ribosomal RNA", at positions 524 to 776 of the family's 1533-position model. The record is from RNAcentral.